GUGUCAGCCGCCGCGGUAAAACCAGCACCUCAAGUGGUCAGGAGGAUUAUUGGGCCUAAAGCAUCCGUAGCCUGCUCUGUAAGUUUCCGGUUAAAUCCAUUAGCUUAACUUAUGGGCCGCCGGAAAAACUGCAAAGCUAGGGAGUGGGAGAGGUAGACGGUACUCGGUAGGAAGGGGUAAAAUCCUUUGAUCUAUUGAUGACCACCUGUGGCGAAGGCGGUCUACCAGAACACGUUCGACGGUGAGGGAUGAAAGCUGGGGGAGCAAACCGGAUUAGGUACCCGGGUAGUCCCAGCUGUAAACGAUGCAGACUCGGUGAUGCCCUGGCUUGUGGCCAGUGCAGUGCCGCAGGGAAGCCGUUAAGUUUGCCGCCUGGGAAGUACGUACGCAAGUAUGAAACUUAAAGGAAUUGGCGGGGGAGCACCACAAGGGGUGAAGCCUGCGGUUCAAUUGGAGUCAACGCCAGAAAUCUUACCCGAGGAGACAGCAGAAUGAAGGUCAAGCUGGAGACUUUACCAGACAAGCUGAGAAGUGGUGCAUGGCCGUCGCCAGCUCGUGCCGUGAGAUGUCCUGUUAAGUCAGGUAACGAGCGAGAUCCCUGCCUCUAGUUGCCACCAUUACUCUCAGGAGUAGUGGGGCGAAUUAGCGGGACCGCCACAGUUAAUGUGGAGGAAGGAAGGGGCCACGGCAGGUCAGUAUGCCCUGAAACCUUGGGGCCACACGCGGGCUGCAAUGAUAGUGACAAUGAGUUCCUAAACCGAAAGGUGGAGGCAAUCUUCAAACGCUAUCACAGUUAUGAUUGAGGGCUGCAACUCGCCCUCAUGAAUAUGGAAUCCCUAGUAACUGCGUGUCAUUACCGCGCGGUGAAUACGUCCCUGCUCCUUGCACACACCGCCCGUC
RNAcentral lists this ribosomal RNA (900 nucleotides) under uncultured archaeon. RNAcentral's name for it is "bacterial SSU rRNA". It matches the Rfam family "Archaeal small subunit ribosomal RNA", at positions 455 to 1354 of the family's 1478-position model. The record is from RNAcentral.